GAUGAACGCUGGCGGCGUGCCUAAUACAUGCAAGUCGAGCGAACAGACGAGGAGCUUGCUCCUUUGACGUUAGCGGCGGACGGGUGAGUAACACGUGGGUAACCUACCUAUAAGACUGGGAUAACUUCGGGAAACCGGAGCUAAUACCGGAUAAUAUUUCGAACCGCAUGGUUCGAUAGUGAAAGAUGGCUUUGCUAUCACUUAUAGAUGGACCUGCGCCGUAUUAGCUAGUUGGUAAGGUAACGGCUUACCAAGGCAACGAUACGUAGCCGACCUGAGAGGGUGAUCGGCCACACUGGAACUGAGACACGGUCCAGACUCCUACGGGAGGCAGCAGUAGGGAAUCUUCCGCAAUGGGCGAAAGCCUGACGGAGCAACGCCGCGUGAGUGAUGAAGGUCUUCGGAUCGUAAAACUCUGUUAUUAGGGAAGAACAAACGUGUAAGUAACUGUGCACGUCUUGACGGUACCUAAACAGAAAGCCACGGCUAACUACGUG
This 497-nucleotide ribosomal RNA is filed under the name uncultured bacterium. RNAcentral's name for it is "partial 16S ribosomal RNA". It matches the Rfam family "Bacterial small subunit ribosomal RNA", at positions 28 to 507 of the family's 1533-position model. The record is from RNAcentral.